Molecule: long non-coding RNA, 3905 nt
Organism: Mus musculus (house mouse)
Lineage: Eukaryota; Metazoa; Chordata; Mammalia; Rodentia; Muridae
Product: predicted gene, 30061
Exons: 2
Source: RefSeq, a predicted model, not a curated record
GACAGACAGAAACAUCACCACCAAAACACAGACAAAAAACUCCAAUAGAUUAAGAAAAUAAGGCUUAGCUGCAAACUGAUGGACUCUGAGCAUCCUCUCAGCCUAGUGAUGUCUGAGCUGGUGAGAGACCCUGGCAACUGUUCACCAGCAAUUCCGUAUUUUCUUUCUUCCUUGUGUGUUUUAUAAGUGGUUUUUAACCAGGCCCCCUGAAAGUGUGUUAUUGUUAGAAAUUAAACCAAGAAACAAGGGAUUGUAAUUUAGUACCAGAAAGUUAAUUCUGGAGCCCUCUGACCUUCGAGUGGUCACGUGGCUAUUGAUUUUCAAUACCGUGAGGUGUUGUGCCACCCUAGACGUGGGGUUCAGUGGAUUCCAAGCAGUUUCUCCCUUAUCAGUUGAGUCCCUGAGUACUUGAGCAUUAAGACGACAAAUGUCCACAGUUAACGGCGUGUCACAUGGCAGCCGGGUGGACGUGCCAAAUUUCUAAUGAAGUCAGGUUGUUGGCAAACACACCAGUCAUCAUAUAUCGAAGAAGGACUUCUUUUGUGUAUUUCCAAUACUCUCAAGUGCUCUGAAAGAUAGCCCAUUCCUUCCUCGUGCAUGGGCCAGGCACCAAGGGAGGAGCAUCCAUCCACUGUCAAGACAAAAGCUAUCAGAAGCAGAGUUUAAAGCAAACUGGAGCCGAGCUUCACAGAUGUUAGAGACAUUUUUUUCCAGUCGCACUCUGCAGGAAUUACUCCAAAUAGAUACGAGGGCUCCAAGGCCCUCGAAGCUCCAUCAGAGAGAGGAGGCUAGGGGUCAUUUCUCACUACCAGCUCAGCUUAAUCCCAUUUCUCUCUCUAUUGAAGGAAGAGAAAGAGCCAAAACCUUUACAGACCGAGCCAGGAACUGGAUUCACUCAGCUGCCAGGAAUGCCCCGGCCAGUCAAUGGAGAGGUGCCCCAGGCCCUCAGCAAAAGGACGAUGAGUUCCCGCUGACCCUGGUACAAUGGAUCUCACCGGAGCAAGAUAUGUAUUUUAUACGGGUGGUGAGAAGCCUACAAGUAAUUGAGAGAGAGAAAUGUCACUGUAGCAUUUCUGUUGACACUGCACUCUGCAAGGAGAGAGCCCCGGCCUGGUGGUAGAGGUCCUGCAUAGCUGAGCUGGGAACCAGGAUGCUGUUCUUUAGAAAGGAGGAGGCAGUUUAAGUAAACCCACUUAGGUUUUCCAACUAAUGGAAUAUUCCCAGGACUGCAGGGCCACAGAGAAGUCUGCAGGCUGCUUUCCGUUUGCUGGGAUGCGUUUGCUGGGAUGCGUGUGGACUCCGAGCCCAGCUGCUAACUUGGAUCUGCUUUUCCAGCUCGCUUUAUUGUCUUCCAUAAUGCUUAAUGUACUGUUUGUAUAUGUUGUCCUUGCAGUAUAUUUUGAUGAACUCUCGUAUAUUUUAUUCAUCUCUGGCUUUCUGGGAAGGCGAGCUCGCAGCAACACUGUGAAUAAUUAUUUGCCACUAUCAAUCAAGUGUCUGCGUGGUUGGCGCCUCAUGGGACAGCCUGGAUCCUUACCGGGACAUGUAACAUUUGCUCUUUGGGGCCAUUUCAUUCUUUGUUCUGGGGUGUGUUGAUGGGCUCUUCCAGCUGAACACUGGCUUUGGAGAGGACCAUUCCCAGAGGAGGCGGCAGGCCUCACUGGAGCAUGUGCCCUGACAGGAGAGCCGGCUGGAGCCCAGGACCCACCUGAGCUUAAUAGUAAGGACACUGGGGCCGGAGAAGUGGCUCGGCUAAUGGAACCCUUGCCACGUGAGCAAACAUCAGGCCUGGAGUAUGAGCUCCCACCAUGCAUGUAAAGCACAGGUAUGUAUGGUAGCCUGUAUGGGAGAUGGACUGGACACAGCAGAGUCCCCAUAGCAAACUGGAGAGUUAGGACAGUGGAAUCAGGGAGCUCCAAAGAGACCCCACCUCAAUAAUAAAGUGGGAAAAUAUUGGGGAAGGCACUCUGCCUCAGCCUGGGCCUCCACACGGACCACACAUAUUCUCCCACAUGUGAACAUCCUUAUACAUGUGUGUGAACCACACAUGCACAUUUGAAGAACAAAGUGAAGGUUUGGCAGUUCAUCGUGGUAGGUGCGGUAGCUGCAAACUCCUUUGUUUAUAUGUUUCUCCGUAUAAAUGGAGAUUCCACUGAGAGACUCAUACUCGGGGGUCAGUACUAACGUGUUGCUUUCUAUAUCUUCCAGGACCCACACUGUAGAUGUGCAUACAUAGUCCUAGGGGUACUAGAAACGGAGGCUUUAGAUCUGUGAUGCCCAGUCCCUGAGAUCUGUCCCUGAGAGGGAGAGUAUUCAGCAGGUACCUUGUAGAGCCACCAUUGUACAAACUGGGACCAGCCUUCUGGUGGUUUCUUUCCCUCCUGCUGAGCAUGUGUCCCAACUGAAACCUGCGUGCUCUUAGGUCCUACAGUAUCCCGGGCUAUGUUGUUUGCAAAUGUUUGAUAAACAGACAAAUAGAUAUUGUUCUCUAAUUCUGGCCAUCAGCCUCAGGACAAAUGCUCUCUGUGCUCAGCAUUUCUAGCUCUGGAAAUGAAGAACUCUCAGAAUCGUAUUUAAGGGAAGGCAGGUCCCUGAUUAACCAAGUUCCCAGCUUGUCUUUGUGGUGUGUGUAUAUCAUCAGUAUGUCUGUCUGUUUGACAACACAGUGAUGCUGGAUCCAAGUUCAACUGGAGGGGAUAUGGAGGUCAAACAGGGUCUGGAUGACAAAGGUGUCCUCUUCCUCUGGGGGCAGGUACUUAGCAGAUGGGAAGUCAGCAGAUACAUUUAGGGCAAGGUGCAAACCUCAAAGCCGCCCACCCCUGGUACUAAAUAUUUAUGCUGGACUGUGAUGCUGGCUGAUCGUCUGAUGAGCCCAGGAAGCUGCCCUCGUGACAAAGUCAAGUGAAGAUCGAGGGAAGAGAAUCCAACACUUGAAGAAAAAUUCAUCAGGAACUAUGUUUCAGAAGGAAAAUAAGAUGUGAGUGUAUGUUGACUCUUGGCCUUGCAUUCUGAAGGAGUGAGCUCCCUUCUUCCAAGGGUAAGUGACAACUAGAAGGUAAAGGCCCUCCACAUGCAGGAAAAUGGCCCUUCCCUCUUCUAUCCAGCUGAUAUUGAAACUGUUUUCAGUGUUUUUAAAAUGCAACUCCCAUUUCAUUUUUUUCUGUUUUAGAGCUGAAGAAAACAAAAAAAAAAAACAAACAACAACAACAACAACAACAACAAAAAAAAACAAAUAAAGAACACUGCCUCUGACCUCCCAGCAAACCACUCCCUUAGUGGAUCGCAUCAUCUUCAGGCCUGCUACACAGCUCCUCACUGCACACACAGACACACCUGCCACAUCCCAGGACCUCUAGUGGGGACUGCCCUACAGCAGAGAGACUGAGGCUGGGUUUUCAAGCUCACCAGGACUGUGUAUAGUAUGAAAGGAGGCUUGACUCGGGCUUUUGGACUGCAAGUCUAGAAAGCUGUCACCAGCAUUUGAGGGAUUGAACUGGAUCUUUUCAAAGGGACCUUAAAUUUUGAAACCCGAUGUGGCUGUCUUGGAGGCCAUAUUGCUGAAAGGUAUCCAGGCCGGCUCUCAGCUGUGCUCUCAAGACUUCGCGUUCAGCAGAGACCCUGCAAGUACAGAACACAGCAGAGAAGCGGGAUGGAAUGGCUAUCGAGGCUGAGAGCUAGAUGUUGGUCUGCUCUGGAAGUUUUCUAGAGUCUGCUAGUUUGCGAGUCUAAAAAGAUGGGAUUCCGACUCUAGAAACAGAACACCCAGCCACAGACAACACAAGAUCUGCUUUCCCACAUAGUCCUUCAAGCCCUACCUCCCAUCUUAAGCUUGAUCUGAUCCUGAGGAGUAAGUGACCUUAAUUCAGACCAGAGACCUGGAGUCCUUAAUAAAAUUGGCUUUGCAA